This 310-nucleotide small nuclear RNA is filed under the name Castor canadensis (American beaver). RNAcentral's name for it is "7SK RNA (ENSCCNG00000031229.1)". It matches the Rfam family "7SK RNA". From Rfam's summary of the family: 7SK was discovered as an abundant small nuclear RNA in the mid-70s but a possible function has only recently been suggested. Two independent studies have found that 7SK RNA binds the CDK9/cyclin T complex (known as elongation factor P-TEFb). P-TEFb activates transcription by phosphorylating the C-terminal domain of RNA polymerase II. The record is from RNAcentral. Lineage: Eukaryota; Metazoa; Chordata; Mammalia; Rodentia; Castoridae.
GGUGUGAGGGCGAUCUGGCUGCGACGUCUGUCCUGUUCUCCCGUUGGCCGCCAGGGUUGAUUAGGCUGAUCUGGCUGGUUAGGCGGGUGUCCCCUUCCUCCCUCAACCAUGUGCGUCCUACUGAAGUGCACACUUGGUCAAUGAGGACGACCUUCCCUGAUAGAGGAGGACCAUUCUUUGGCCAAGCGUAUAUGAGUCGCCGCGAUCCCCCUCUAGAACUUCCAAACAAGCUCUCAGGGUUUUACGUUUUAUGCAUUUAUGUCAUCUAAUUCUGGAGGGUCCUAUGAGCCAAGAAUGGCAUAUUCUUUAG